AGUAACGCGUGGGUAACCUGCCUUAUACAGGGGGAUAACAGUCAGAAAUGGCUGCUAAUACCGCAUAAGCGCACAGAGCUGCAUGGCUCAGUGUGAAAAACUCCGGUGGUAUAAGAUGGACCCGCGUUGGAUUAGCUUGUUGGUGGGGUAACGGCCCACCAAGGCGACGAUCCAUAGCCGGCCUGAGAGGGUGAACGGCCAUAUUGGGACUGAGACACGGCCCAG
This 225-nucleotide ribosomal RNA is filed under the name uncultured bacterium. RNAcentral's name for it is "partial 16S ribosomal RNA". It matches the Rfam family "Bacterial small subunit ribosomal RNA", at positions 109 to 334 of the family's 1533-position model. The record is from RNAcentral.